Molecule: unclassified non-coding RNA, 8841 nt
Filed under: Portunus trituberculatus (swimming crab)
Lineage: Eukaryota; Metazoa; Arthropoda; Malacostraca; Decapoda; Portunidae
Description: uncharacterized LOC123516133, transcript variant X4
Source: RNAcentral
CCAGCUAUCACGGAGGGCGAACGUACCUGUCCAUCCAUCUGUGCUUGGAACUUUCGAUUUACACUCUUGUGGAUGCAUCACCAUGAAGCCUCUGUUGAUAUUAGGAAUGCUAGCGGCGACAGGAGGCAGGUGUUUGGCGACAGGAAACACGUCCUGUAACCAAGGCUGGGAGCUGUGUCCCUCCACCCAUCAGUGUGUGCACAAGCAAUGCAUGAACCUCAUUGCUCAAGAGUCUGAGAGCCACGAGUGUCAAGAUGGCCAAGUGUUCUGCAAGGCCAUGGAGGCGUGCGUCCAACCCUGCUUUACUUCCUACGCUGAGACGUGCAGCCCAAACUCUCCUGUGUCUCCCGUCUGCCCCUCGGGACACGUCUGUUGCCAGAAAGACGCAUCCAAGACCUGCACCACACCCGAGGACUGCCAGAAAUCGGCUGGCCUCCACCUGCCGUCUCCCACCUGUCCAGACGGCUACGUGUUCUGCUUAUCCGUCGGUGGCUGUGUUGAGGGAAGCUGUCCUGAUGUUUCUGUCGGCGGCCGCUGUGAGGGGAACAGGGUGUUCUGCCCUUCUUUGGGACGAUGUGUGACACAAAGAGAAUGUUUCGGGACGAAUGUCAUAGAAGAGGCAGCCUUCACCUGUCCACCCGGAAAACCGCUGUGUUUGGCUACAGGGAAAUGUGAGGAGCCUUGGGCGUGUAGCGAAAGUCUUGGAACCAGUAGAGGAGAGAUCUGUCCCCCACACAAACCUGUCUUCUGUUUGGCCAGCCGAACCUGUGAGGUGGCAGGUGGAUGCAGCAGCCGCCCUCCGGAGACUAUGGCGAGGAUUUGUCCCAGAGAGUACAUUUACUGUGCUCAAAGAGGAGAGUGUGUGGCUAGAAGCAGAGGUUGCAGUGAUUCAGGUGUGAGGAAGCCGCUGUUAUCUUGUCCACAUGGCACCACCUUCUCAAUCCCAAGUGGGACCUGUGUACCAGACUCAGAGAACAGCCAAACACUUGGUGGAGAGAAACAAGCCUGUCCUUCUGGUAGUGUUUUCUCCCUUUCUAGUAGCAAGUGUGUCCCUGAUCCUACAAGAGAAAGGAAAAAAGUUGCUUGUCCAGCUGGUACAGUGUAUCACCUUACUGAAGGCACUUGUGUCCCAGACCCAGUGAUGUAUGAAGAUACUCCUAGUUGGUCAUGCCCAAUGAGCAAUGAGUCCCGCAAAGACAGCUUUCCAUAUUCUACAUGCAUUACAAGUGAUCAUUGCUCCAAUGGUUUAUCAUGCUGCCCAGAUCCAGAAACAUGGCAUUUUCAGUGCGUGAAUACUGUUGGUGAACCAGAUCCUAGUGCUCUUAACAAAACUUGCCUGCAGCUAGACAAACCCAAACAUGACACUGCUUUAAGAUGUAACAACCCAAAUGAAUGUCCACAAGCCUCUGUCUGUUGUGGAGGAAAAUGCAGGUCCCAUGAUGGAGUUGCAACCUGCCCUAUUGGCACAUUGUUCUGCCCAGCCUCCAAUGCCUGUGUACGGCUUGGAAACCAGUGUGGCAAGAUUUGUCCCCCUAAGCAUGUCCUUUGCUCACCUUCGUCAGACUGUGCUGUUUGGAGUUCUUGUAGAAGUGAUAAUUACAUGAGUGGAGCUCCAUGGAUGAUGCCAGAUAUCAAAUGGGUGUCAGCACUGAGCAACAAUAGCAACACAAGGAGAGAUGUUCUGCUGUCAGAGACCUUCAGAAAAGCUGGAUCUGGAUCACAAGACAGAUCUAUUGUGAUCUUCAUUAUAACAAACUUCACAUCUGCAUAUGGGAACUGGUAUUUUCGGCGCCAUCACAGCACUCCAUGGAUACCCUUAGAGCUCACCUCCGAGAUUACUCCAGCACAUUACCUUCAAUACCGCCCUCUGCCCAACCUGUAUGAGUUUGGCCUUGACUACAUCAAUAUGACCGAAGCAGGUACAGGAAUCGAUAGAACAGUGGUGCAGCUCAUUGCUCCGGAAUCCCCAUCAAUUCAGAUGAAGAAAGUUGUUUCUACAAUCACCACAGAAGAAGAUGUUCCAAAAGAAUUUUCACUCUGGAGCAUCAUUAAUGUGACAUGUAAUGACACCCAUUACUGGAGAGUGUGGAUGCAAGCAGCUGAUUUUCCCAAACAAGCUGCAAAGGCCAGUCUUCUGCAGUUCAAUUCUAAAAAUGUGAUAUUAUGGGUUACAUUGCUUCAAAGUCCAGGUCUCCAGAAUGAUAUAGGAGAAGAUGGAGUUAUGGGAAGAGGAUUGAAGCUGGAGUGGGUUAAAAAUUCUGCCUUUCCUGAUGAAGUUUUGGCUGAUCUUUACAUCUCACUAAGUGAAGGAAAAGAAUGGUUUAGAAUGAAUCCUCGUAAGGCGCUGAAGCUCCCUAUUGUGUCUUGUGAAAAAGUGCAGGAUAUAAUGGUAAAGGUGCAACCAACUCUUAAUGCAUAUGGAACCAGUACCCUGAGGCCAUCUGUAUAUCCUUCCACCUCAUCAAUGCUUGUCAAUGACUCAACAAAUAUGCCUGAUGAUGCAGACAUGAAUGAUAUUGUUUUAGAGGUGACAAGUGUGAAUGAUCUUCCAGUAGCAAAAACCUACCCAGAAUAUAGCAAGAUUCCAGCCCUCAGAGUAGACAAGCUAAAUAAUGGAGUACCUGUGGAAACCUAUGCAGAGGCCUUCUUCCAAGACCCAGAGAACAGUGCUUUAGGCAUCAUUAUACUGCAAGCACUGAGUGGUCCAGAUGAUGACAAGUGGCAGUAUUCUGUUGAUGAUGGCAAAACCUUCAUUGAUAUAAUGGAUCUACAGGAGAACCCUUUUAACAUUCCUUUCUCGACGCAAGAAGGUCGUCAAGGUCCAGUUCACUGGAGGAAAGAAAUUGAAAGAGUCAGCUGUAAUUUCAGAGGCUUGAUAAACAAUAUUGAUAAUUUGUCAUCACUAAGUAACGACAAAUGUUUAACGGAGGCAAGGAAGAGAAUGGGUAGAAAGUUGGGUGCAACUACAAGCAAUAGUUUUAACACCAGAAUGAAGACACAAACUAUGGACACAGCAGGUAUAGCAGAAUUUGGAUACACUGGCACAGGCAGCCUCAGCCUGACAGGACCGGAAACAAAGCGUAAAGUUCUGUACUUGCCGUCAAACACUGUGCUGAGAUACAACACAUCUCGUAGUCCUUGGACUAAGGAAGAAGGAUUUAGAGACACUCGAUUGGUAUUUGUUAUCUUGGAUGGCAAUGGCACUGACCAGUCUCUUCGUGAAGUACAGUGGAUGAACAUCAGUUUAAAGGAAGACUUGGGGAAAAAUGGCAUUGGGAGGGAUCCAGUUGUGACCGCUAUGACUUGGCAAGACUGCACCAACCAAACUUUGGAGAUGUAUCCACCUCGCACAGUAGAUGCUUGUGGCCAGUGUGGUGGAAACAACAGCACUUGCACUGAUUGUGCUGGUGUCCUCAAUGGAGAUGCUAAGAUGGUUUGUGGAGAGUGUGUUGGAGGUACUACAAACAAGGUUCGGGAAAAAGACUGUGCUGGUCAAUGUGAGAUGAAGAACCAUCUUGUCAACAUUGAUGGAGAAGAAAAGUGUCUAGCAAAUAGGACAUUUUGUGAUGGCUCCCUAACAUCUGGUGCUUACUAUGAUAGGUGUGGAAUUUGUGUAGGGGGCACCACAAGACAGGAGAUAAAUGAGGCAAUGGAUGAGUGUGGUGUGUGUUAUGGAGAAAACACAUGUUUUGGAUGUGAUAAUGUUCCUCAUUCUGGAAAAGUUAUGGACAGAUGUGGGUUGUGCCUCAAGCCUGACAGUCCUCUUUUCAACAAUUGCUUGACCUUGACAGCCACUACAGAGGUUUUAGAUGCUGCUGUCAAUGAUAUCGCUGAUGUUGACAUUCAGUCACGGGCAUCAGUUUCUCGUGGUAGGCAAGACUCAAUGAAGAGGCAGCUGCAAUCCCUCCUCACCAUCAAGGCCCAAGUGACUGGACUCACUGGCAAGAGAUACAAGGUGGAGUGUUGGCUUGAAGCUGACAGUGAGCAGAUAUCAAAUGCCACUCAUGUACAGUAUGCAAAGGGUCAACUAAAAGCUACUUUCAAGAUCCUACUGUCAGGCAUUCAGUCCUUCAAAUGUACAUUUACACCAGCAAAAAAGAAAAUUACAUCAGGUAUGACACUGGAAUCUGAAACCAAAGUAGAGGUGAUGGAUUCACGUUCUGCCAUGGUGGAGACGGAUACUACGCUAGUGGAGACCAGUACAGAUAAACAAGUUAAUGUGACUUUGAAAUAUGCUUCAUCUGUUGACUUUGCAAGAUGUUUUCUCCUUUACCAAGACCCAGUAGAAGAAGGAAGAGAGAAGAGCAUUGUAGUUGAGCUUGAUACUGAAGUUUUGGCUGAUGACAAAGUUGCCUGCACUAUUACCAGAUUUACAAGACCAGGAGAAGCACAACUUGGAGUUGCCCUUACACCCACAGCAGUGAAGGCAAUGUACCUGAACCCAUUAAAUAUUCAAACAAAAAGGAUUACCAUUCUUUCUCCAGCACCUGAAGUCAUUUCUGCUGUUUUGAAUCCCUAUGGAGAUGUGCUUGUGAUCAAAUUCGAUAAAGAAAUUGAAUUUGACAGAGAUUGCUCCAAUAUAAUCUUAUGGCCAUGGACAACUAGUGACAAUAGGCAGGAUCCAACUUGUCAGAUCCUAGGAUCCAAGGUGAAGGUAAGACUGAGUCCGGACAUUAGUAUAGAGGGCAACACAACCCUCAACUUUACUAUUCCUGGGAGCAUUAGAAGUGCCAAUGGAGAUCCUUCAACUGCUCCCUCAGCUUCAGGGAGUUUCAUGGUUGUUCAACCAAAGGAGCAAAAGGAAAUAACUUUUCAUCUGAGUGGUGAUACAAGAGCCUGCAACACUUCUGAGGUUACUGUCAUUAUUUCUCGCAUCAGAGGAGCAAAAAUCAAGGACUUGGAGCCUGAAUGGAACAUUACAUGGGAGCCUUCACCAAGAUCUCAAGCUGAAACAGUUCUUGUAUGGCAGAGUCUCAACAAUCUGAAAGAUGCUAUGAAAGAAGAGUCUGUAGGUCGUAGGUUCUUCCUGCGUCUUCCUGGCAAUGAGUUCCUUGAAGGAGUUGAGUACAUGAUAAAUGUACACUUGAAGCUAACUAAUGGAGAGCUUACUAGUGCCAAGAGUCUGACAGUGACCACCCUGCCCUCAGACCAGGCACUUAGGGUUACUGUGAGUGGACCUACCAUGGUCCUGGCUGACCAACCCAACAGUUACCAAGCAACAGUGACUUCUUGCUCAGAUACUAUGAUCAAGAAAGACACAAAAUACAAGUACGUAUGGACUGUGUUGGGUAGCAGGGCCUUGAAUGUCUUCCAAGGCAAAAGAAUUACACUUCCAGCGGGAGUUCUAAUAGCUAACCAAAAUCAGACACUCAUGGUCAGUGUAAAGGCAUUAGGACAGGAGGCUACUGGCACAACCAGCUUGAACCUGUCUGUGAUUCCUCAAGGCAUCAGUGUUGUUACCUCUGCCAGCUAUGUAAGGGUGUGUUCCAGCACAGCCAUCAUUGUCGAUGCUUCCAACUCAAAAGACAGAGACAACCGUCCUGGAUCCCUCUCUUUUAUGUGGAAAUGUUCUUCAAAUGUUAGCAGCCCUUGCAUUGUUAUAGGAAAACCUCUUAGUGGACUUGAGAGUGCUUUAUCUGAGGAAGAAAUGAGAAAACCUACACUCAAAAUUCCUGCUGGUUAUCUACCUCCUGGCAGGUACACCUUGACAGUUGUUGUAAACAAAGGGAGAAGCUCUGCUCAAAAAAAUGUGGAGAUUGAGAUUCUGAGAAGUGCCUGUGAGGUUACUGUUGAGACAAACCCCACUGCUGUGUUGGUUAAUCCAUUGGAAGAGGUCAUCAUUCCUGCCUAUGUCACCGGUCCACCGAAGUUGAAUAUAGAGUGGCAGAGUAUCAAAGAACCUGGUUUUCACAAUAUUGAAAUGAUGUCAUUUGUAGAUACUGGUCAGCCCACCUUGUAUGAGGAUGCUAGUGAACACCGGCAGCACUUCCUUCAACUCCCAAAGCCUAAACAACAAGAUUUCACAGGCCUCAUUAUGGGGGAGACCUACAAAUUUCGACUCAAAGCUUGGACUGACGUCACUGAGACAAUUUUCAGUGACAUAAUCCUCAGGACACCCUAUUCUCAACUUGAGGGCAAAACCACACUUGAGGUGUCUCCCUCUGCAGGAAGUGGCAUCCUAGAUAACUUCACCUUUACCAUGAAGUAUUCUGUUGACUCCAUAAAAGACCAGCCUUCCUCUGUGUACUUUGGUUAUCGCCUCCAAGACUCUCAGGACAUCUGGUUUACUCCAAUUACAAAUGAGAAUCCAGUAGCUGUCUAUCAGCUCCCAGCACGGUCAAACCAGGAAAAAGUAACACCACUCAUGAAAGUUUGUGAUCCUUUUGGAAUCUGUCAAAAUGAAGAGGGUGACAUCAUAACUCUCACCCUCCCAUCACAGCUGCCUCCAGGUCUUCUCGGAAAUCUUGUAAAUAGUUUUGAUAAUGACAUGAGGUGUGAUGAAUGCCUGAAAUCAGCACUAAAAAAAAUCACAGACAACCUGGCAACCAUCUUUGCCAUGAAUUACAGUACAACAGCUGCUGCUGCUCUCACUGAGGCAAUAGAAAUGUCCAUCAUAUCAGAAUUGCCCAACCUCAUAACCAGAACUCAGAACAACCCAGCUCUGUCCCUGGACAUACUUGAAGGCUUGUUAGGUUUUGUGCAAGAGUUUGGUGCCAGUCCAGAGCUGCAGCAGCUCUGGGGUACCUUAGCUUGGGAAAGUUUUUCCCAAAAAUUUGGAUUACCUUCUCCAGAUAUUAGGUAUUCACCAGCAGAAAUUAGUGAUAAAGAAAAUGAAGAAUUUAUCUAUUAUCCAAAAACUGAUGGUGAUCUAAAAGAUGCAAGGAAUGGAUACAAAUCACAAACUUCACAAAUAAGCUCAGCAGAUGCAAAUAAUCAGCCAAUAAAGCAAAGGGUCAAAAGACAGGCUGCAGCCGCUGGUGAGGAAAAGAGUGGAUAUGGUGCAACGAGCAAAGAGAAAGAUCGUAAACCUAUGACAGUGAAUGAGGCAGAAAUAUAUCUGCAAACAUUUGAGACAAUGGUGACAGAAGCAAGCCCAGACACUGCCAAAAGUCACUUGAAGAAUUUGCUGGAUAGUCUCCCUCUCAUGCUGUCUGGGCUCUGCUUGCUGAAAACAGCUGCACCAGCACCAAAAGAAGUGACAGGAGACCUGGUGAGCAUCACUGUAGCAUCACCAGAUCUUAAAGACCAAGAAGACAAAAAAUUCUUCUUGAUGGAGAAAAGUGCUGACAGACCCCAACUUGUGCAGAAAAAUAAUUAUGUGGUAUUUGGUGAUGUACUGCUUGACUAUGAUAAGUGGUCUUGUAAGAAGAGAGGUGCAUCAGAGAAUAUGUCAUGCUAUGGAGCUUGUCCUUCCACUGUACUUUUGAAAGAUAACUUCUGGUCAUUGGUGACUGGUGCCAGGACUCCAGGCCCCCUCAGAACAUCAGUAGCAGGUGCAUUUCUACUUAGCCCAGAAUCAGGUAUUAAGGUCCCAGUGACCUCAGAUGCCAGAAUUUUAUACAGCAUAAAGAUUCACAAUACCACAAAAUCACCUGGCUAUAGAAUUGAGUGUUUUGGCUGGAGUGACCAAGAAUGGGAUAACACUGUUUGCAGCACUGGUAUAACAGAGAUUUUUGGUAAAGUCAGGAAACUGGUAUGCACCUGCAAGGAGACUGUUUAUGUUGCAGGAUUUCUGGUAAAGUUUUCAAUUACUCCAAGGAUCAUUGGUCCCAGUAUUGAGGAAGAACCAGCAGACCAAGCCUCAGAUUUUGCUCCACUUCCCAUAAAGGAUAAAGUACAUGUCAUCAUGAUCAUACAUGCUGAUUACGAUGAAGUGGUUGGAAAAAAUAAAACUGCACUUGAAGAAGAGUGGACAGUACAGAUUUCUGAGACAUUGGGCAUUCCAAAAUCAUCUAUCUAUAAUCUGACUAUUUCUAAAGGCAGUGUUGUGGUACAGUUUGAUAUUCUGCCCACAUACACUCGCACAGCCAGUAAGCCUCCAAGUGACGUCUUUGGUAAUCUUUAUGAACUGGUAAAUUCUGGAACACUAACUUUGACUGGAUUAUCCAAUGAACAGCUUCCAGUAUUGCCACAAGCCUUGGAUGGCAGCGGUCCACUUGUUGAAGAAAAGAAAGACCCUACCAAGCUCCCACUUAUCAUAGGAGCUGUGGUUGGGGCCAUAGUUUUAAUUGUGAUUGUUUUCAUCUGUUUUGCCAUAUACUUCAAGAAUAAGAAGAAAAUGGACAAAGUUCAACCACUACAGAUGGGUGAUACUAAGCAACCUACAUACAGCUCCAUAUACUUUGAACAAAUGCUGGAUGGCACCAUUGCAUCACUGGCUAAGCAACAAAAUUCAAGCAACCGCAGCCUCUCCUCGGGGGGUUCCUAUGCAGACGAGGGGAUCUACAUAGAGAGACGAGCAACUCCCAGUUCCCGAGGUGGCUCAGGAAGCAAGUCAAGUGCAAACCUUAGCCAUGACUCAGGCUUGGAUGAAGUACCUGAGCCUUUCCAAUACAACAGUCCGAGCAAGGAGCAGCUGGAGAGUUCAGGAGCCAUACCAGAACACAUAUUUCAGAAGAUUGAGGCCAGUGCAGAGGGUCUCCUCCCAGGGUCACCUGAAGAGCCAGUCACUGUUCACCACAAGUGGUGACUGUUAAAUCAUAUGCUGACUUCCAGGGUUACAAGGACAUCUUAGAAAGAUUGAAGAAGUUGCGGAAAGAAAGGGAAGCUCUGCCGGGAACACCAGUAGGAGACAUGCCAUGAAUGAUGUCACUCCAUCUUGACUGCAGAUUACUAUUGGCA